RNAcentral lists this ribosomal RNA (462 nucleotides) under uncultured bacterium. RNAcentral describes it as "bacterial SSU rRNA". It matches the Rfam family "Bacterial small subunit ribosomal RNA", at positions 28 to 507 of the family's 1533-position model. The record is from RNAcentral.
AAUGAACGCUGGCGGCGUGCGUUAACACAUGCAAGUCGAGCGGAAAGGCCCUUCGGGGGUACUCAGCGGCGAACGGGUGAGUAACACGUGAGUAACCUGCCCAAACUUUGGGAUAACCCUCGGAAACGGGGGCUAAUACCGGAUAUGACACAGCUUCGCAUGGGGUCUGUGUGGAAAGUUUUCGGUUUGGGAUGGGCUCGCGGCCUAUCAGCUUGUUGGUGGGUGAUGGCCUACCAAGGCGACGACGGGUAGCCGGCCUGAGAGGGCGACCGGCCACACUGGGACUGAGACACGGCCCAGACUCCUACGGGAGGCAGCAGUGGGGAAUAUUGCACAAUGGGCGGAAGCCUGAUGCAGCGACGCCGCGUGAGGGAUGACGGCCUUCGGGUUGUAAACCUCUUUCAGCAGGGACGAAGCCGUGAGGUGACGGUACCUGCAGAAGAAGCGCCGGCCAACUACGUG